This 608-nucleotide ribosomal RNA is filed under the name Shewanella sp. Sw190. RNAcentral's name for it is "bacterial SSU rRNA". It matches the Rfam family "Bacterial small subunit ribosomal RNA", at positions 60 to 656 of the family's 1533-position model. Lineage: Bacteria; Pseudomonadati; Pseudomonadota; Gammaproteobacteria; Alteromonadales; Shewanellaceae. The record is from RNAcentral.
AGUCGAGCGGUAACAGGAAAGUGCUUGCACUUUUGCUGACGAGCGGCGGACGGGUGAGUAAUGCCUAGGUAUCUGCCCAGUCGAGGGGGAUAACAGUUGGAAACGACUGCUAAUACCGCAUACGCCCUACGGGGGAAAGGAGGGGACCUUCGGGCCUUUCGCGAUUGGAUGAACCUAGGUGGGAUUAGCUAGUUGGUGAGGUAAUGGCUCACCAAGGCGACGAUCCCUAGCUGGUCUGAGAGGAUGAUCAGCCACACUGGAACUGAGACACGGUCCAGACUCCUACGGGAGGCAGCAGUGGGGAAUAUUGCACAAUGGGGGAAACCCUGAUGCAGCCAUGCCGCGUGUGUGAAGAAGGCCUUCGGGUUGUAAAGCACUUUCAGCGAGGAGGAAAGGUUGAGUCUUAAUACGGCUUAGAUGUGACGUUACUCGCAGAAGAAGCACCGGCUAACUUCGUGCCAGCAGCCGCGGUAAUACGAGGGGUGCAAGCGUUAAUCGGAAUUACUGGGCGUAAAGCGUACGCAGGCGGUUUGUUAAGCAAGAUGUGAAAGCCCUGGGCUCAAGCCUAGGAACCGCAUUUUGAACUGGCAAACUAGAGUCUUUGUAGA